This 497-nucleotide ribosomal RNA is filed under the name uncultured bacterium. RNAcentral's name for it is "partial 16S ribosomal RNA". It matches the Rfam family "Bacterial small subunit ribosomal RNA", at positions 28 to 507 of the family's 1533-position model. The record is from RNAcentral.
GAUGAACGCUGGCGGCGUGCCUAAUACAUGCAAGUCGAGCGAACAGAUAAGGAGCUUGCUCCUUUGACGUUAGCGGCGGACGGGUGAGUAACACGCGGGUAACCUACCUAUAAGACUGGAAUAACUCCGGGAAACCGGGGCUAAUGCAGGAUAACAUGUUGAACCGCAUGGUUCUACAGUGAAAGGCGGCUUUGCUGUCACUUAUAGAUGGACCCGCGCCGUAUUAGCUAGUUGGUGAGGUAACGGCUCACCAAGGCAACGAUACGUAGCCGACCUGAGAGGGUGAUCGGCCACACUGGAACUGAGACACGGUCCAGACUCCUACGGGAGGCAGCAGUAGGGAAUCUUCCGCAAUGGGCGAAAGCCUGACGGAGCAACGCCGCGUGAGUGAUGAAGGUCUUCGGAUCGUAAAACUCUGUUAUUAGGGAAGAACAAAUGCGUAAGUAACUGUGCGCGUCUUGACGGUACCUAAUCAGAAAGCCACGGCUAACUACGUG